RNAcentral lists this long non-coding RNA (1346 nucleotides) under Nicotiana benthamiana. RNAcentral describes it as "long non-coding RNA (NBEN_LNC012046)". Lineage: Eukaryota; Viridiplantae; Streptophyta; Magnoliopsida; Solanales; Solanaceae. The record is from RNAcentral.
UGAGAAUUGGGAACUAAUCAAGGAUGACAUCUUUGCUGCUACAAAUGAUUUUUCACCACUGCCAGAAUGCCUCCAUUUAUCAACACAACAGCCAUCAUACUGAUAUCCAAAGUUAAAGUGCCUACAGCAGUUAAGGAUUACAGGCCAAUAGCAUGUUGCAAAAAAAUGUAUAAGAUAAUCUCCAAAGUCCUAACCAACAGAAUGAAGAAGGUCAUGGGUGACAUAAUUGGACAAACUCAGUCUGCUUUUAUAGAAGGUAGAAGCAUAAUAGAUAACAUACUCCUUAGCCAAGAAAUAUUCAAAGGAUACUCUCGGAAAGGUGUAUCUCCCAGAUGUGUGCUGAAAGUAGACUUAAGAAAGGCAUAUGAUACUUUGGAAUGGAAUUUCCUAAAGCAGGUUCUUAUUGCAUUAGGAUUUCCAGCAAGGUUUGUUCAAUGGAUUAUGGCAUGUGUCACCACUGUGUCCUACUCUAUUGUACUACUCUCUUGUACUAAAUGGAGGAUUAACAAAGACAUUUAAAGCUAAGAGGGGCAUUAGACAGGGGGACCCAAUAUCACCUUAUCUGUUUGUGAUAGCUAUGAAGUAUUUAAACAGAGAAUUGGGGCAGCUCCACAGGAAUGGAAACUUCAACUUCCAUCCUAAAUGUAGCAAGUUUAAAAGUGUUCAUGUAUAUUUUGCUGAUGACUUAUUAAUGUUUUGUAGAGCAGAUAUCAUCUCUAUCAGGCUGUUAAAUGUGGCAUUCCACAGAUUCUCCAAUGCAUCUGGACUACAGGCAAAUAUCAGCAAGAGUUCCAUUUACAUGGAGGUGUAGAUCAGAACAGUAAAGAGAUAAUACUUAGAACAGUGGGAUUCACUGAGGGAGAAAUGCCAUUUAGAUAUCUGGGGAUACCACUAGAUUCCAAGAAACUGGCUCUACAUCACUAUCUGCCACUAAUUGAGAAGAUCACUGCCAAGAUAACAUGCUCGUCAGCAAAGUUACUCUCAUAUGCUGGAAGAUGCCAGUUGAUUAAAACUGUCAUCUUUGGCAUUCAGACAUAUUGGGCUCAAAUUUUCAUUCUACCUAAGAAGGUGCUGAAAACCAUUGAAACUAUCUGCAGAACCUUCUUAUAGACUGGGAAAGCAAAUCCAUCUAGGAAGGCCUUAGUUGCUUGGGAGAAGAUUUGCAGACCUAAAACAGCAGGAGGGCUAAAUAUACUUGAUUUGAAGACAUGGAACAAAGCAGCAAUAUGCAAACACCUUUGGGACCUAACAAGGAAGAAGGAUUGUCUUUGGAUAAAAUGGGUACAUAACUACUACAUUAAGCAUAACACUGUUGAAACAAUGAAGAUCCCUAAGGCUGCUUCUUG